UACAGAGGGUGCGAACGUUGCUCGGAAUCACUGGGCGUAAAGCGCGUGUAGGCUGACAGGCAAGUCAGGUGUGAAAUCCCUGAGCUCAACUCAGGAACUGCAUCUGAAACUGCCUGUCUGGAGUGUCGGAGAGGGAAGCGGAAUUCCGGGUGUAGAGGUGAAAUUCGUAGAUAUCCGGAGGAACACCAGUGGCGAAGGCGGCUUCCUGGACGAUUACUGACGCUGAGACGCGAAAGCGUGGGGAGCAAAC
Molecule: ribosomal RNA, 250 nt
Filed under: uncultured bacterium
Lineage: Bacteria
Description: partial 16S ribosomal RNA
Rfam family: Bacterial small subunit ribosomal RNA
Source: RNAcentral